CCUACGGGGGUCUGCAGUGGGGAAUAUUGGACAAUGGGCGAAAGCCUGAUCCAGCCAUGCCGCGUGUGUGAAGAAGGCCUUCGGGUUGUAAAGCACUUUCAGUGGGGAAGAAAGCCUUGGGGCUAAUACCCUCGAGGAAGGACAUCACCCACAGAAGAAGCACCGGCUAACUCCGUGCCAGCAGCCGCGGUAAUACGGAGGGUGCGAGCGUUAAUCGGAAUUACUGGGCGUAAAGCGCGCGUAGGCGGUCUGAUAAGCCGGUUGUGAAAGCCCCGGGCUCAACCUGGGAACGGCAUCCGGAACUGUCAGGCUAGAGUGCAGGAGAGGAAGGUAGAAGUCCCGGUGUAGCGGUGAAAUGCGUAGAGAUCGGGAGGAAUACCAGUGGCGAAGGCGGCCUUCUGGACUGACACUGACGCUGAGGUGCGAAAGCGUGGGUAGCAAACAGGAUUAGAUACCCUGGUAGUC
This 465-nucleotide ribosomal RNA is filed under the name Vreelandella stevensii. RNAcentral describes it as "partial 16S ribosomal RNA". It matches the Rfam family "Bacterial small subunit ribosomal RNA", at positions 338 to 795 of the family's 1533-position model. The record is from RNAcentral. Lineage: Bacteria; Pseudomonadati; Pseudomonadota; Gammaproteobacteria; Oceanospirillales; Halomonadaceae.